Molecule: ribosomal RNA, 1437 nt
Filed under: uncultured organism
Description: SSU rRNA
Rfam family: Bacterial small subunit ribosomal RNA
Source: RNAcentral
CUAGCUACAGGCUUAACACAUGCAAGUCGAGGGGCAGCAUGGUCUUAGCUUGCUAAGGCCGAUGGCGACCGGCGCACGGGUGAGUAACACGUAUCCAACCUGCCGUCUACUCUUGGACAGCCUUCUGAAAGGAAGAUUAAUACAAGAUGGCAUCAUGAGUCCGCAUGUUCACAUGAUUAAAGGUAUUCCGGUAGACGAUGGGGAUGCGUUCCAUUAGAUAGUAGGCGGGGUAACGGCCCACCUAGUCUUCGAUGGAUAGGGGUUCUGAGAGGAAGGUCCCCCACAUUGGAACUGAGACACGGUCCAAACUCCUACGGGAGGCAGCAGUGAGGAAUAUUGGUCAAUGGGCGAGAGCCUGAACCAGCCAAGUAGCGUGAAGGAUGACUGCCCUAUGGGUUGUAAACUUCUUUUAUAAAGGAAUAAAGUCGGGUAUGGAUACCCGUUUGCAUGUACUUUAUGAAUAAGGAUCGGCUAACUCCGUGCCAGCAGCCGCGGUAAUACGGAGGAUCCGAGCGUUAUCCGGAUUUAUUGGGUUUAAAGGGAGCGUAGAUGGAUGUUUAAGUCAGUUGUGAAAGUUUGCGGCUCAACCGUAAAAUUGCAGUUGAUACUGGAUAUCUUGAGUGCAGUUGAGGCAGGCGGAAUUCGUGGUGUAGCGGUGAAAUGCUUAGAUAUCACGAAGAACUCCGAUUGCGAAGGCAGCCUGCUAAGCUGCAACUGACAUUGAGGCUCGAAAGUGUGGGUAUCAAACAGGAUUAGAUACCCUGGUAGUCCACACGGUAAACGAUGAAUACUCGCUGUUUGCGAUAUACUGCAAGCGGCCAAGCGAAAGCGUUAAGUAUUCCACCUGGGGAGUACGCCGGCAACGGUGAAACUCAAAGGAAUUGACGGGGGCCCGCACAAGCGGAGGAACAUGUGGUUUAAUUCGAUGAUACGCGAGGAACCUUACCCGGGCUUAAAUUGCAGAUGAAUUACGGUGAAAGCCGUAAGCCGCAAGGCAUCUGUGAAGGUGCUGCAUGGUUGUCGUCAGCUCGUGCCGUGAGGUGUCGGCUUAAGUGCCAUAACGAGCGCAACCCUUGUUGUCAGUUACUAACAGGUUCCGCUGAGGACUCUGACAAGACUGCCAUCGUAAGAUGUGAGGAAGGUGGGGAUGACGUCAAAUCAGCACGGCCCUUACGUCCGGGGCUACACACGUGUUACAAUGGGGGGUACAGAGGGCCGCUACCACGCGAGUGGAUGCCAAUCCCAAAAACCUCUCUCAGUUCGGACUGGAGUCUGCAACCCGACUCCACGAAGCUGGAUUCGCUAGUAAUCGCGCAUCAGCCACGGCGCGGUGAAUACGUUCCCGGGCCUUGUACACACCGCCCGUCAAGCCAUGGGAGCCGGGGGUACCUGAAGUGCGUAACCGCGAGGAGCGCCCUAGGGUAAAACUGGUGACUG